This is a long non-coding RNA of Carya illinoinensis, 1451 nucleotides long. RefSeq lists it as uncharacterized. The record is from RefSeq and is a predicted model, not a curated record. The transcript is spliced from 3 exons. NCBI's taxonomy places the organism in Eukaryota, Viridiplantae, Streptophyta, Magnoliopsida, Fagales, Juglandaceae.
UUUGUUUUUUUCUUCUGUAUUUAUUGUAUAGAUAUUUUUUUAAUUUUUUGUUUUCUUUCUUUAUGUCGGUUUAUAUAAGGAUGUUUUGAUCUUUAAUGAGGUUAUGUCAGUGAUAUUUUUUUAUAAGAAUUUCAGAUCAUACAAAUCUUUCAUUCUCAGUUUCGUAUUCCUUCCAAGUUCUCUCUCUAAACUCAGACCCAUCUUCUAUUCUCUCUCUAUCUCGCGACUCUCGAUUUAUUUUCAUCUUGCUGAAACCUAAAGCACCAAAACUGUGAAAUUUUAGAAUUUUUGAGAUUUGCUUGGUCGGCUGCUAAUGGGAGGGGUAGAGAUAGGCUUCUGGAGAGAUUUCAGAGAAAAAGUCAUAGGCAGGUCAAUCUUAUCUCUCCGAUCCCCAAACCAAAGGCUGAGGAAGAGAAGAAGCCUCAGGAGAAAGAGACUCCAAGCCUGAAGAGAAGAAAGAAGAGUGCCGUCUAAUUCAAGCACGAAUUUGGACAAGGUGAAGAGCGAUGAAAAGAAAUGAAAUUUAAGAGAUAGGUACCACUUAAUUUUGUUGUUAAGCGAAAGCUACCACACGAAUCAUAGACGUGAGGGACUCGAAGUUGGGAUCAGGUUGAUCAUCCAAGUGGUGCUUGCUGUCUUCACAUACGUUCACUGUUGUUAGGAUGCGAAGGAUAAGAUGCCUCUCUUCCUCUUCCAAACGGAAUUUUGGCAGAUUCGACACAUGCAGCUACAAAGCUUGGCUAGCUCAAGACUCAGACGACCAAAAAUUUGAUGGAACUGCAUGCUUGUUGGUUGAAAAAGUAGGAAAAAAAAAACAAAAUUUAACUCUAAAGCAAAGUGACGAUGAAAUGGUCAAGUCAAAGAUUAGUCAUCAUUUAAUACUCUUCAUAAAAUUAGUGAUAUAUAAUCUUUGUGGUAACUAUUUACGAUUAAUACUCUUGACAGAAGGCUAGGUAACGACGCCGAGAUCAGCCAGGGGCUGAGCGUGGAGAAAGGAUCCAUUUACUUGGUCACCUUCAGCGCCACCCACAUCUACAUGAAGUUGGAGUCGCUGAAUGUGUCGGUGCCGCCGGCGUCGCAGACGAUAGACUUGCAAAUACUAUACAACGUGCAGGGGUGGGGCCCGUACGCCUACGCGUUCGAGGCGGAAAGUGUGGAGACAAAAGUCUAAAAAGUCGAGACAAAAGAGAUGGUGACAUUGGAGAGUGUGGAGACUUUUAGUGAGAGAGUAGUUAGAUUUGGUGAGAAAAUGGAUGAGGUUGUCGGGUUAGAAUUAGAUUUUAUUAACAGUACUCCAUCAGUUAAUUUAAUGCAAUACAUGAUGGGAUAUUUGAAUGAAAACAUCAUGCGGGAGACAUCAUUAAUUAAUUAGUAAUUACAUCAAUGUAUGCACCCCACCAUAAACUAUUUUAUAUGUUAGCAAUUUAUAUUAAAGGGAAUAUAAAUCAAAA